AAUGGGCUCAGCUUCCUGAUCCUGGUGAGCAGUUCCCUAGGUUCGAGAGAAGAGGAGGAGCUGGAUUCGUUGUGGUGCAAGGAAAGAUUUGGGUGGUUUACGGGUUUGCAACUUCUCCUGAUCCUAAUGGGAAAAAUGACUAUGAGUCCGACCAAGUGCAGUUUUAUGACCCGGCUACUCAGAAAUGGACCGAAGUGGAAACUAAAGGAGACAAACCUUCUGCGAGGAGCGUGUUUGCACAUGCGGUUGUGGGGAAAUAUAUACUGAUAUUUGGAGGAGAGACCUGGCCGGACCCAAAGGCACAUUUGGGACCAGGGACGUUGUCUGAUGAAGGGUUUGCGUUGGACACUGAGACACUGGUGUGGGAGAGGUUUGGAGGAGGAGCUGAACCGGGUCAACUCGGUUGGCCCGGUUACACGACUGCCACCGUGUAUGGA
This 437-nucleotide long non-coding RNA is filed under the name Brassica napus (rape). Its description in RNAcentral is "long non-coding RNA (BNAP_LNC004748)". Lineage: Eukaryota; Viridiplantae; Streptophyta; Magnoliopsida; Brassicales; Brassicaceae. The record is from RNAcentral.